Molecule: transfer RNA, 77 nt
Filed under: Escherichia coli
Lineage: Bacteria; Pseudomonadati; Pseudomonadota; Gammaproteobacteria; Enterobacterales; Enterobacteriaceae
Also listed under: 2 other names
Description: tRNA-Met
Rfam family: tRNA
About the family: Transfer RNA (tRNA) molecules are approximately 80 nucleotides in length. Their secondary structure includes four short double-helical elements and three loops (D, anti-codon, and T loops). Further hydrogen bonds mediate the characteristic L-shaped molecular structure. tRNAs have two regions of fundamental functional importance: the anti-codon, which is responsible for specific mRNA codon recognition, and the 3' end, to which the tRNAs corresponding amino acid is attached (by aminoacyl-tRNA synthetases). tRNAs cope with the degeneracy of the genetic code in two manners: having more than one tRNA (with a specific anti-codon) for a particular amino acid; and 'wobble' base-pairing, i.e. permitting non-standard base-pairing at the 3rd anti-codon position.
Source: RNAcentral
CGCGGGGUUGAGCAGCCUGGUAGCUCGUCGGGCUCAUAACCCGAAGGUCGUCGGUUCAAAUCCGGCCCCCGCAACCA